This is a long non-coding RNA of Cavia porcellus (domestic guinea pig), 6514 nucleotides long. RefSeq lists it as uncharacterized. The record is from RefSeq and is a predicted model, not a curated record. The transcript has 3 exons. Lineage: Eukaryota; Metazoa; Chordata; Mammalia; Rodentia; Caviidae.
AUAAUUCUUUCUGAGUUUAAUCAUCAGAUGGCAUUCAUUUUUUAAAAAUAUGUAUAUGGCUUGCUGCUGGUUAUGAGCUGCAUGUAGACUCUCAGGUUGAGGCACCUGUGAUCAUAGAAGCAAAGACCUUCCAGAGCCAACGACCAGGGAAGAACUCUCCAUCAUGUACAGCCUGGAGCAGGAUGCACAAAAUGACAGGUGCAUCUGGUUACAGACUGGAGACUCCCAAAUUGUCACUGCGGUGCGCUGUUAGCAGAGAGACUCUGUGACCUGGUGCCCUAUGUCCCAUCCUCCCACGUAGGAUUCAGCACUUUUUCAUGGGGCCUUGGGUGCGCAGUCUGAAGCCAGUGGAGUAAGGAGGCAGAUGCAGAGGAGAAGCCACCAAGAUGGGGACAGCAUUGCACCCCAGAAUGAAUUUGGAGCUGAGGAUUUAAGAGAGGGCCGCAGAGCCCAGCACAGCACAUGUCUGGAAGCACAAGAAAUCACGAGGCCCACCACAAUAGUCUUCAUCUUUUCAUCUGCCGGGAAUGAAGACCAAUAUGGACGUGUUAAGAAUCACCAAGUCCAGAGAAGAUGGCCCAAUGGUGUGCUUAGGAAGAAACGUGAGGUCUAGAAACCUUCCUGCCACUGCAGGGUGGGGGUGGCUGCAUCCUCCAGGGCCCGCCUCCACCGUGAGUCCUGCCACCUAUCAGAUACCCCUUCUUGUCUCCUGGCUCCUACCUGACUCCCUAUGGGGAAGAGUCGGCACUCCUCCGGGAAGAAUAAACGUGCAGUGCAAAUGUUCAUCUUUUACAAAGCCUGCCGGAAUGGAAUAGACUUAGUAAACAUGGAAUAGACUUAGUAAAAAUACUUUAAUAGACUAUAUCAGUGAUGAAAGCAAUAAGGUUGAAUUUAUCUAGCAGACAUGUGACGCAAAGUCUACUUUUACUUUAGAACAAAAAGUGGGUGAAACUUACAGUUUAAAAAAGCCAGUAUGACUAGGUCUGCAGGCUUAGUGUGAAAGGAAUAAUUUUUUUUUUUUUUUUUGUACUGGGGAUUGAACUCACAUGCAUGCUAGGCAAGCACAGGACUGACUCUCCUGCCGCGCAGCCCUUUAUUUACUUCUUUAUUAAGCUGCUCCAGGUGCGCUGAACUGCUCCUGCGUCUCAGCCUCUGGCGCAGCUAGGGUGACACGCAUACGCCGUGCCGCAAGGCCGAGACCACGCUGCUGCACACGCAGGGCUGGAUUCCCUAAGGUGGAAGCCAGGUCGGGAUCCGUGAGAGUGACACGCCCCGUAGUGUUCUGCUGAGUCAGGUCAGGCGCAGUCCCGAAGUUCCCCUAGGGUUUUAUUAGUUGCAACACCUUUCCCUGGCUGCAGAGUUUCAGCUUACAAAGCAUCUGCCUGAGCGUUCUUUGCCUCCUCACCUGGUCCUGUUGAAACGGGUUUCUGUGUUGUUCCGGGCGAGCUGACCUGCUCAAUCAAGGUCACCCAGCCAGGGCGUGGCUCGGCCCUGCCUCUGACCCUUGGUCUUCCGUCCCACCCUGUCCUGCCCGCUUCUGCAGCUCCCGGAACAGGCCCAGGAAAAGACAUCUCCUUUCCUAGCUCCUCAGACCCUGGGGAAGGGAUCUGGGAGCUGGGCGAGUGGCAGGGCAAAGGGAAAUGGAAAUAAAUGAGCUAGCAUUUAUCAGGUGCCCGCUGAGUCCCCGGCGCCACAAGUUUUACACUUUCUGACACAGGGCCUCUCUGGAGGGGCCUUGGUCAUCUUGUGGCUCCCACAGACCCUGGCAUCCGGUUGGCAUCUUCUUCCACAUUCACUUCGUCUGUACCAGCCAUCAUCUAACCCAUCUUCCAAGAAGGCCUGCGAGGCAGGUAGGGCUGGGCUUAUCCCCUUAUUUAAUAACGAGGCACCAGAAUGUACAUCCAAGCCAGGUGUGAUGCCACACCCUGGAUCCCAGCGCUCCGGAGGCUAAGGCAGGAGAAUGGCAAGCUCAUUCCAGCCUGGGCAGCUGUGCAAUUUAGCAAGACUCUGUUUUAAACUGUUUUUAAAAGUAUUUUUUUUUUAAUAAAAGGCUGAACACAUAGUAGGUCAGUGCAAAGGCUAUGUGGUCAAGUCUGAAGUUCAACCAAACAGAGCCAAAAGGAACCAAACUCGUGUCAACCCAUCCUUUUAUUCUUUUAUUGAAUAUUGAUUAUGAUACCUCUGUGUUCUAGGAACUUUGCAGUGCCCAUACCCACACAGUGCACUAAAGCAGCAAUAUUUUUCUGGAAAUUUCUGGAGGGAAAUGUGUAAACAACAGAAAAAAGGAGAUACUGGGAGGUUUUAAACCGGAAGGUCACACAUGCAGGUUUUGCGGCCGUCGUGACAGGUUACGGCCAGUAGGUGGUGCUCAGGCUCCCAGGAGUCCUUCCAAGCCAAUCUUUCAUUUCAUAUUCAUCGCUGUGUUUAAAAUCAUAUUGAAACGCUGUAUUCAAUUUGAUUUUAAUUCCAUUUAUUUGCCUUUAAUUGUUACAUGCUCUUCUAAAAAUGGCCAAAUUAAAUUUAGUUGUGUCACGGCUUCCUGGGUAAGUGAAAGACAUGUCCAGGAAAUUAGGCUCCUAAAUAAGUUAGCACAUCCAGUGAUUGGUAUUAGGCUGGGGAUUCCUUGCACAGGAAAUGCUCAUGAAAAGGUCUGGAAGAAUACACACCAAAGCAUUAGUUAUGCUACCUCCUGGUGGUGGAAAUACAGAUUAUUAAAAAAAAUUUGUGGACUUCCGGGAGAACAUGGCGGACAGAUAGCAGCAGCUACCCAGGCUCUCUGAAAGACCCAGCUUAGAAUCCAGGAAUGGUGCGGAGUGAGGAAUCCUAAGCAAGAGAGGAGAUAUGCCCUGCUGACCCAAGAACGAACUGGGCUGAGAGAAACCAACUGGGAAUGCAAUCCUGGUGCUAUAACAGGAACAGAUAAAGCCUCAGUGUGAAAACUGGAGCCCGCGCCAUUGGAAACCGCGAUUGGGUUUCCUGCUGCCGCAGCUGCGUCUGAAUCGGCUCUGCAGAGAGACAGCCGUGAAAGCUCUGAGAACGGGAAACGGUGAACAGAGUUGAGAGCAGGACGGGCGGGGAGCCGUGCAUCAACCUGCGGUGAGUGAGAGAAACUGGGACUCUUCCACGAUGUAGAAGGCUCCAAAAGAGGACAUUCUGGGACCGGGCAGACUUGGCGGAACAGGGUGCUGUAGAGACUUCAGUCACAUAUCCCCCUCGCAAGCGGGAUUGGUGAGCAGUGCCUAGCCUACAUGACGCUGCUGGCUGAGACCCAGUAGACUAGCACAGCCCAGGUCCCAGCACCUGAAGGUGAUCUGGAGGGGCAGGCCCUGCAUAGACUGCCUGGUCCGUAACUCGCUGGUGUGCUGCGGUGGGCGGUAACACCUAGCCGGCACAAUUCAAUCAGACUGUGGCCAACAGGGAAGGAAGCUGGGCCUCCUAUAUACGCUUGCAUUUAUAAGGAACAAAGAAUAUGGGAAGAGCAGAGCAACAAGAAAGGCCCCUCGGCCCCCAAUCCUGAGAAACAGGCAAUAGCGGACAUGGCACCAAUAGACAUAAAGCGCUAUCUCCAGAGCCUCAUAGACGAGUUCAGGAAUGAAGUUAUUAAUGACCUGAAGCUAGCAAUAAGCAGAAUAGUUAGAGAAAUGCUAAGCACCACCCAAGAAAAAACAGAGGGUGGAACGGAAGAACAGAAAAAGAGGGGAGAACUGUUUGAUGGAGAAAAUAGAGAAAGCAUAGAAUACGUGAAGCAGGUUCAAAGAUUAUCAGGAAACCGAAAACUGGCAUAACAGCUUGAAAGAAACUAAGGACAGAUUAUCUGAACUGCAGGGCAGAUUUGUAAUAUGGGAGCAUGAAAUGAAAAACUUCUUAAAAAUAACAAAGAAACAAACAGCAAUAAUACAAAGACUAGAAGAUGAUAAGAGGAUCUAUAACUUAAGAAUUAAGAACAUAAAAGAAGAAGUAGGGACACAAACAAAUGAACUACAAAAGCUACUUGCAGAAAUAAUCCAGGAGAAUUUUCCUAAUUUAGCAAAAGAUAAAGAUACUCAGAUGUAUGAAGCAUUCAGGACCCCAGCUACCUACAACCCAAACAGAGCUACACCCAGACAUAUAAUAAUCAAAAUACCAGAAAUGCAAUAUAAGAACAGAAUAUUAAAAGCCGCCAGAGACAAGAAACAGAUCACUUACAAGGGAACACCCAUCAGAAUUACAGCAGACUUCUCAGCACAAACCAUCAAAUCACGAAGAGCGUGGGGGGAAAUAAUUCAAGCUUUGAAAGAUAAUAACCUCCAGCCAAGAUUGAUAUAUCCUGCACAACUAUCCCUGGAAAUCGAUGGAAAAACAAGGUGCUUCCAGGAUAAAGAAGGAACUAGGGGAAUAUGCAACCACCAAUUCAACUCUACAGAGAAUACUGCAGGAUAUUCUAAAAAAGAAAAAUACAAAGAAUCCAGAAAUAGUGGCAGAGAGGCCACAAUGAGUGGAGCAGAAAACAAAAUGAAGAAGACAAACUGACAACUAAUGACAGAAAAAGAGCUCAACAGAAAUGAGGCAGAGAAGAUUGGAUGAUAGGAACAGCUAUUUUGGAGAAAAUGACGUCUUAAUAGGUAAUACUGAUUUAGUAUCAUCUUGUUUUGAAGUCUCAUCAAGCUUUUGUUCUUCUGUCUCCAUUGGUCUUAGCAUGUUGUAUCUUAUUGGAUUUUAUUAUAUGUGAUAGUAUAAAUAAAAACUUUUAUAGACAAGGAGAUUAUACAGAAACCAUUGUUCAUUUUCUGUUAGUUGAUUCUAAAUACCCUGUAAUACUCUCAUUCUCUUGAAUGGUUUUGCAUUGUUUUGAUAUAUUUGAUGCUACAGUAUAUGAAGUUAUACUCAAAGAUUUCAAGGAAAGAGACAAUAUGGUAACUACUUUUUUUUUUUUUUUUUUUUUUGUCUUUUUCCUUUUUUAUCGGUACCAGGGAUCGAACUCAGGACUGCCUGCUUGCAAGGCAGGCGCUUAUGCCGCUGAGCUAAAUCCCCAACCCCCAAUAUGGUAACUACUUUUAUGUCGGGAUUAUCUUGUGGUAAAACACUAUUUUGCUUAAAUGGUUAUGUUUUUUUUUCUGCGCUGUUUUGUUGUUAUGCCCUCUUUUAUCUCAAUCUCCAUUUUUACUUUUUUAUUUUUAUCCUUUUACUUAAGGGUAAAACAAAUAAAAAAUAGCAGGAUAUAUUAUAGUAACCCACUUUGAUUUACUAUUAACUUGAUUUGAAGCCCUGUAUUGCUCUCACCAUCUUGUUUUGACUGAUGUUCCUCUAUUCUGUUUUGCUUGAUAGUACCAGGUUCGAAAAUGUAGGCAACAGCUCUGAAGAUAGUGGGAUUCAUUAUGACGCCCAUUCUGGUUGACUAUUAUCUACUUUUGAAGACCUGUAAUGUCUCCAAUGUUUUGGUUUUGUUGGUUUCAUUCUUUACUGUUUUGUUCAAUUUUAUUAUAACUGAUGAUAUAGGCAAUUCUAUUAGAGAUAGCGGGAGGCAUUAUGGUAACCAUUGUCGAUCACCUUGUAUUAUGUUUUUACAUUUUCUAUUAUGUCCACCCUUUUGAUUUGACUGACUCUGUUCUGUUAUGUCACAUUUGGUUUUACUGUCUUCCAAAAAAAGUAAUAAGAACUGUGGGAGCAAUAAAACCCAAAAUGUGUAAUAGUCAUUGUACAAAAGAGAGGAAAAGAAAGUGCUCUAAACAAUAUAACUGCAUGUAUAUUUAAGUGUAUAAGAUAGACAAUGAUAUUACUGAGUUUUGUUGGAUCAUUGAACAGAACUGUUUGGUCUCACUGUUUGAAUGUCCACUAUAUAAGCUUUAGUUUUGUAACUUGAACAAAUAUUUCUAAGAUGAUAAUAUGUAAUCCAUUAACUAGUGAUUUCCUACUGUUUAUUUUUUUUUCUGAAAUUCUGUAUAACUUGUACCCUUUUUCUGCUUUUUUUCUUUUUCUCCUUAAAUAAAAUUAAAAAAAAAAGAAAAAAAAUUGUGUUGGAGUUUGGUGGCACAUGCAUAUAAUCCCAGCACUUUGGAGACCGAGGCAGGAAGUUAUCUGCCAGUUUGAGACAAGCCUGGGAUACAUAGUGAGUUCAAAGCCCACCUGAACUGCAUAGAGGCCAUGUCUCAAAAAAAAAUUUUGUCUACUUUUGACAUUUUUUUAAAAGAGCAUGUUUCGCUUUGCUUGUCUUAAAUGUUUUAUCAGAGUUUAAUCUGCCAAUGGAAAAGUACACAAAUCUUACAGCCUUGAAAUUCCCUAUGUAUUUAUGCACACAUAGGACCACCAUCUGGAUCACGAACUAAAAGAUAGUUUAGAGCCCCAGAAUGUUCCUGCAUGGCUCUUCCCAAUGAUCCCCCACUCCCAGGAACCGGUAUUCUGACAUCUGUCACUAUAGAGCAGUUGGGACUCUUUUGUGAACUCCUUAUAUGUAGUAUCACAUCGGAUGUUCUCUAUAAUGUUUCAACUCUUUUAUUUAUUCAAGUAAAUGUAUACAAAUAUAUAUUAAAAACUUAUC